GUUAGAGAAGAACAAGGAUGAGAGUAACUGUUCAUCCCUUGACGGUAUCUAACCAGAAAGCCACGGCUAACUACGUGCCAGCAGCCGCGGUAAUACGUAGGUGGCAAGCGUUGUCCGGAUUUAUUGGGCGUAAAGCGAGCGCAGGCGGUUUCUUAAGUCUGAUGUGAAAGCCCCCGGCUCAACCGGGGAGGGUCAUUGGAAACUGGGAGACUUGAGUGCAGAAGAGGAGAGUGGAAUUCCAUGUGUAGCGGUGAAAUGCGUAGAUAUAUGGAGGAACACCAGUGGCGAAGGCGGCUCUCUGGUCUGUAACUGACGCUGAGGCUCGAAAGCGUGGGGAGCAAACAGGAUUAGAUACCCUGGUAGUCCACGCCGUAAACGAUGAGUGCUAAGUGUUGGAGGGUUUCCGCCCUUCAGUGCUGCAGCUAACGCAUUAAGCACUCCGCCUGGGGAGUACGACCGCAAGGUUGAAACUCAAAGGAAUUGACGGGGGCCCGCACAAGCGGUGGAGCAUGU
This 513-nucleotide ribosomal RNA is filed under the name bacterium T-1-0-5D. Its description in RNAcentral is "bacterial SSU rRNA". It matches the Rfam family "Bacterial small subunit ribosomal RNA", at positions 438 to 942 of the family's 1533-position model. The record is from RNAcentral.